This 443-nucleotide ribosomal RNA is filed under the name uncultured bacterium. RNAcentral's name for it is "partial 16S ribosomal RNA". It matches the Rfam family "Bacterial small subunit ribosomal RNA", at positions 338 to 795 of the family's 1533-position model. The record is from RNAcentral.
CCUACGGGUGGCAGCAGUGGGGAAUAUUGGUCAAUGGGCGCAAUCCUGACCCAGCCACGCCGCGUGAGGGAAGAAGGCUUUCGGGUUGUAAACUUCUUUUCGCAGGGACGAAGCAAGUGACGAUACCUGCGGAAUGCGCCUCGGCUAACUACGUGCCAGCAGCCGCUGUAAUACGUAGGUCGCGAGCGUUAUCCGGAUUUACUGGGUGUAAAGGGCGUGUAGGCGGGAAAGCAAGUCAGAUGUGAAAACCAUGGGCUCAACCUGUGGCGUGCAUUUGAAACUGUUUUGCUUGAGUACUGGAGAGGCAGACGGAAUUCCUGGUGUAGCGGUGAAAUGCGUAGAUAUCAGGAGGAACACCAGUGGCGAAGGCGGUCUGCUGGACAGCGACUGACGCUGAGGCGCGAAAGCGUGGGGAGCGAACAGGAUUAGAUACCCUGGUAGUC